UAAANUAGGAUUAGAUACCCNUAUUAUACCAAAAAGUAAUUUUUCAUGGACNUAAGUAUUAAUAGUUAUUUUCUAAAAAUUUGAAAAAUUUGGCGGUGGUUCAGUCUUGUCAGAGGAACCUGUCUUUUAAACGAUACACCACGAAAUAUCUUACUUGAGCUGAUAGAGUAUGUAUACCGUCAUUAUUAGGUAAUUUUUAUAGAACAAAUUACUAAAAGAUUAGCAGUGAAGCUAAAUAUAUUAGAUCAAGGUGCAGCUUAUGCUUAAGUUAAGAUGGGUUACAAUAAAAUUUAUUUAGUACGGAUAUUCAAAUUAAAUUUAAAUUGAAAUGAGAAUUUGAUUGUAAAGUCAGUUUAAUAAGCUGUCUAGAUAUAAGCUCUGAAGCAUGUACAUAUCGCCCGUCGCUUUCAUUUAUAAAAUGAGAUAAGUCGUAACAUAGUAGAUGUACUGGAAAGUGCAUA
This 461-nucleotide ribosomal RNA is filed under the name Callinectes similis (lesser blue crab). RNAcentral's name for it is "partial small subunit ribosomal RNA". The record is from RNAcentral. Lineage: Eukaryota; Metazoa; Arthropoda; Malacostraca; Decapoda; Portunidae.